This 460-nucleotide ribosomal RNA is filed under the name uncultured bacterium. Its description in RNAcentral is "partial 16S ribosomal RNA". It matches the Rfam family "Bacterial small subunit ribosomal RNA", at positions 338 to 795 of the family's 1533-position model. The record is from RNAcentral.
CCUACGGGAGGCAGCAGUGAGGAAUAUUGGUCAAUGGGCGGGAGCCUGAACCAGCCAAGUCGCGUGAGGGCAGACGGUCCUAUGGAUUGUAAACCUCUUUAGGCGGGGAGCAAUGCCGGGCACGCGUGCCCGGAGGGAGAGUACCCGCAGUAUAAGCAUCGGCUAACUCCGUGCCAGCAGCCGCGGUUAUACGGAGGAUGCGAGCGUUAUCCGGAUUUAUGGGGUUUAAAGGGUGCGUAGGCGGAGUUUUAAGUCAGCGGUAAAAUGUCCGGGCUCAACCCGGGCCGGCCGUUGAAACUGGGGAUCUUGAGUGGGCGAGAAGGAUGCGGAAUGCGUGGUGUAGCGGUGAAAUGCAUAGAGAUCACGCAGAACUCCGAGUGCGAAGGCAGCAUACCGGCGCCCGACUGACGCUGAGGCACGAAAGCGUGGGGAUCGAACAGGAUUAGAGACCCGGGUAGUC